AACGAACGCUGGCGGCAGGCCUAAUACAUGCAAGUCGAACGGAUGUAGCAAUACAUUAGUGGCGCACGGGUGCCUAACGCGUGGGAACAUACCCUUGAGUAAGGAAUAAUGUCUGGGAACGGACACUAAUACCUUAUAAUGACUUCGGUCCAAAGAUUUAUCGCUCAAGGAUUGGCCCGCGUCUGAUUAGCUAGUUGGUGAGGUAACGGCUCACCAAGGCGACGAUCAGGAGCUGGUCUGAGAGGAUGAUCAGCCACACUGGGACUGAGACACGGCCCAGACUCCUACGGGAGGCAGCAGUAAGGAAUAUUGGACAAUGGGGGAAACCUUGAUCCAGCCAUGCCGCGUGAGUGAAGAAGGCCUUAGGGUUGUAAAGCUCUUUCAAUAGUGAAGAUAAUGACGGUAGCUAUAGAAGAAGCCCCGGCUAAAUUCGUGCCAGCAGCAGCCGCGG
Molecule: ribosomal RNA, 451 nt
Filed under: uncultured bacterium
Lineage: Bacteria
Description: partial 16S ribosomal RNA
Rfam family: Bacterial small subunit ribosomal RNA
Source: RNAcentral